RNAcentral lists this ribosomal RNA (616 nucleotides) under Orixa japonica. RNAcentral's name for it is "eukaryotic LSU rRNA". The stretch from base 239 to 394 matches the Rfam family "5.8S ribosomal RNA". The record is from RNAcentral. Lineage: Eukaryota; Viridiplantae; Streptophyta; Magnoliopsida; Sapindales; Rutaceae.
UCGAACCCUGCCUAGCAGAACGACCCGCGAACUCGUUAAAAUCACUGGCGGGGGGAGAGCCCCUCGGGCGCUCCCCCCCCUAUCGCCGCGGGUGCGGGACUCGUCCCGCUCCCCGUGGUGAAACAACGAACCCCCGGCGCGGACUGCGCCAAGGAAAUCUAACGAGAGAGCACGCGCUCGGGGCCCCGGUCACGGUGUGCCCCCGGGAUGCGGCGCCUUCUUUCAAUUUAUCUAUAACGACUCUCGGCAACGGAUAUCUCGGCUCUCGCAUCGAUGAAGAACGUAGCGAAAUGCGAUACUUGGUGUGAAUUGCAGAAUCCCGUGAACCAUCGAGUCUUUGAACGCAAGUUGCGCCCCAAGCCUUUAGGCCGAGGGCACGUCUGCCUGGGUGUCACGCAUCGUUGCCCCACCCCACCCCCUUGGGGACCUGGCGGUGCGGGCGGAAAAUGGCCUCCCGUGUGCUCCCCGCCCGCGGUUGGCCUAAAUCUGAGUCCUCGGCGACCGAAGCCGCGACGAUCGGUGGUGAAAACAAGCCUCUCGAGCUUCACGUCGCGUGCACGCGUCUCCGAACGAGGCCUCGUGGACCCUUACGCUCCGCGCAAGCGGCGCUCGCAUC